This 271-nucleotide ribosomal RNA is filed under the name uncultured bacterium. RNAcentral describes it as "partial 16S ribosomal RNA". It matches the Rfam family "Bacterial small subunit ribosomal RNA", at positions 338 to 626 of the family's 1533-position model. The record is from RNAcentral.
CCUACGGGGCGCAGCAGUGGGGAAUAUUGCACAAUGGGGGAAACCCUGAUGCAGCAACGCCGCGUGAGUGAGGAAGUAUUUCGGUAUGUAAAGCUCUAUCAGCAGGGAAUAGAAAAGAAGGUACCUGAAAAAGAAGCCCCGGCUAACCACGUGCCAGCAGCCGCGGUAAUACGUAGGGGGCAAGCGUUAUCCGGAUUUAUUGGGUUUAAAGGGUGCGCAGGCGGCCUGUUAAGUCAGCGGUAAAAGCCCGGGGCUCAACCCCGGCGAUCCG